RNAcentral lists this long non-coding RNA (1037 nucleotides) under Canis lupus dingo (dingo). RNAcentral describes it as "lncRNA (ENSCAFG00020001716.1)". Lineage: Eukaryota; Metazoa; Chordata; Mammalia; Carnivora; Canidae. The record is from RNAcentral.
GGGAGGGGAUCCGCGCUCGGCCGCUGAGAGGCGGUGUUGCCGAGGGGAGCGUGAUGGCGGCGCCGCCCAAGGUGGGUGGAGGGGCCGGCGCGCCCGCCCGCGCAGGUGGACGGACAGGUGCGCGCCCGGGCCUCCGCGGCCCCCGCCCCCCCCCCCCCCCGCCGCGGCGGGGCUCUCGCGGCCCGCACCCUCCUCCCGCCCAGCGCUGUGCCCCCCGGCGUCUGGCCGUUGGCGGGGAGGGAGGCUUGAACCGCGGCUGACCUUAGCCUUUGUCCGUCGCCUCGGUGCCGCCGUUGCCGUCGAGACCGCCAGCCCCUCCGCGCUACAUUUUUUUUUACCACCGCUCUGUCCCCCAGCGCGGCCACGGGCGCGUCAGCGCCGAGCCCCGCGCCGUUCCGCCUGCGUCGGAGAAAUGUUCCGGGUACCAGAAGGAAUGAAAGGACUUGGGGCUGGUCUCCAUGGCAACUGGGAGAAAGAGCCCCCCUCACUGUAGGGAUAACUCUGGAAACCCUAUAUCCAAACUCUGGAAAUUCCAGCUCCUGCAAGAAGCCACCCCAGAUGGUUACUACAAGAACCAAGAACACCUGUAGCUAGUCUUCUAAAUCUCGGUGCCCAGUGUGGCCUGUCUACCACCCCUCCCCCACCACCACCAAUAUAGUCCUCCUUAACCUGAGGGAGCUUUCAUCCAAGCGGUGAGUUCUGAAGAAUCAGGAAUCACUCUCAUCAUCCAAGGCUGCCAAGAUGACCCCCAAGAGCAAAACAACACCUGAAAUAUGGUAGUUUGGUUUUUGGCUUUUACAGUGUACAAAGUGCCUUUACAUGUCAUUUAAUCCUCCCAGCAUCACUGGGACGAUGAAGAAAACUUAACCAGAGGCACACAGCUUAAAAAAUGACAGAGCCUGGAUUCCUGAGAAGUUCACCUGCUCUCUGCCUUCCAGUAACCAAAAGACACAGAUUCAGUAAAAUUCCAAUAAGUUACUAGAAGGCGUUUUGUCCUCCCAAAUAAAUAUGUCUCUCUACUCUCUGGUGUGAACCUA